GACGAACGCUGGCGGCGUGCUUAACACAUGCAAGUCGAACGGUAAGGCCCUUCGGGGUACACGAGUGGCGAACGGGUGAGUAACACGUGGGUGAUCUGCCCUGCACUUCGGGAUAAGCCUGGGAAACUGGGUCUAAUACCGGAUAGGACUCCGGACUGCAUGGUCUGGGGUGGAAAGCUUUUGCGGUGUGGGAUGGGCCCGCGGCCUAUCAGCUUGUUGGUGGGGUGAUGGCCUACCAAGGCGACGACGGGUAGCCUGCCUGGGAGGGUGACCGGCCACGCUGGGACUGAGAUACGGCCCAGACUCCUACGGGAGGCAGAAGUGGGGAAUAUUGCACAAUGGGCGCAAGCCUGAUGCAGCGACGCCGCGUGAGGGAUGACGGCCUUCGGGUUGUAAACCUCUUUCAGCAUCAACGGAGCGAAAGUGACGGUAGGUGCAGAAGAAGGACCGGCCAACUACGUGCCAGCCGCCGCAGUAA
Molecule: ribosomal RNA, 478 nt
Filed under: uncultured bacterium
Lineage: Bacteria
Description: partial 16S ribosomal RNA
Rfam family: Bacterial small subunit ribosomal RNA
Source: RNAcentral